GGGGAUUUAGCUCAGCGGUAGAGCGUUUGCCUAGCAAGCACAAGGCCCUGGGUUCGGUCCCCAGCUCUG
Molecule: transfer RNA, 69 nt
Filed under: Rattus norvegicus (Norway rat)
Lineage: Eukaryota; Metazoa; Chordata; Mammalia; Rodentia; Muridae
Rfam family: tRNA
About the family: Transfer RNA (tRNA) molecules are approximately 80 nucleotides in length.
Source: Rfam by way of RNAcentral